AGCAGCAUGGCGCAGUGGUAGCGCGCGGGGCCCAUAUCCAGCUUGGACUAAGGUACCCCGAGGUCACUUGAUCGAAACAAGUUGCUGCUA
This is a non-coding RNA of Paramarasmius palmivorus, 90 nucleotides long. Lineage: Eukaryota; Fungi; Basidiomycota; Agaricomycetes; Agaricales; Marasmiaceae. The record is from the annotation of a GenBank genome assembly.